CGGUCUGGUGGCGAGUGGCGAACGGGUGAGUAAUGCAUCGGAACGUGCCAUUGAGUGGGGGAUAACGUAGCGAAAGUUGCGCUAAUACCGCAUAUUCUGUGAGCAGGAAAGCAGGGGACCGCAAGGCCUUGCGCUCUUUGAGCGGCCGAUGUCAGAUUAGCUAGUUGGCGAGGUAAAGGCUUACCAAGGCGACGAUCUGUAGCGGGUCUGAGAGGAUGAUCCGCCACACUGGAACUGAGACACGGUCCAGACUCCUACGGGAGGCAGCAGUGGGGAAUUUUGGACAAUGGGGGCAACCCUGAUCCAGCCAUGCCGCGUGAGUGAAGAAGGCCUUCGGGUUGUAAAGCUCUUUCGGCCGGGAAGAAAUCGCAUGGGCCAAUACCCUGUGUGGAUGACGGUACCGGAAUAAGAAGCACCGGCUAACUACGUGCCAGCAGCCGCGGUAAUACGUAGGGUGCGAGCGUUAAUCGGAAUUACUGGGCGUAAAGCGUGCGCAGGCGGUUUUGUAAGACAGGCGUGAAAUCCCCGGGCUUAACCUGGGAACUGCGUUUGUGACUGCAAGGCUAGAGUACGGCAGAGGGGGGUGGAAUUCCACGUGUAGCAGUGAAAUGCGUAGAGAUGUGGAGGAACACCAAUGGCGAAGGCAGCCCCCUGGGUCGAUACUGACGCUCAUGCACGAAAGCGUGGGUAGCAAACAGGA
Molecule: ribosomal RNA, 700 nt
Filed under: uncultured bacterium
Lineage: Bacteria
Description: bacterial SSU rRNA
Rfam family: Bacterial small subunit ribosomal RNA
Source: RNAcentral